CGAAAGCCUGACGGAGCAACGCCGCGUGCGGGAGGACGGCCUGUGGGUUGUAAACCGCUUUUCUCAGGGAAGAAGAUCUGACGGUACCUGAGGAAUCAGCAUCGGCUAACUCCGUGCCAGCAGCCGCGGUAAUACGGAGGAUGCAAGCGUUAUCCGGAAUUAUUGGGCGUAAAGCGUCCGCAGGCGGUUCAUCAAGUCUGCUGUUAAAGGCCGAGGCUUAACCUCGGUUAAGCGGUGGAAACUGAUGGACUAGAGUGCGAUAGGGGCAGAGGGAAUUCCCAGUGUAGCAGUGAAAUGCGUAGAUAUUGGGAAGAACACCAGUGGCGAAGGCGCUCUGCUGGGUCGCAACUGACGCUGAGGGACGAAAGCUAGGGGAGCG
This 379-nucleotide ribosomal RNA is filed under the name uncultured cyanobacterium. RNAcentral describes it as "bacterial SSU rRNA". It matches the Rfam family "Bacterial small subunit ribosomal RNA", at positions 376 to 770 of the family's 1533-position model. Lineage: Bacteria; Bacillati; Cyanobacteriota. The record is from RNAcentral.